RNAcentral lists this long non-coding RNA (761 nucleotides) under Ananas comosus (pineapple). Its description in RNAcentral is "long non-coding RNA (ACOM_LNC000824)". Lineage: Eukaryota; Viridiplantae; Streptophyta; Magnoliopsida; Poales; Bromeliaceae. The record is from RNAcentral.
CAUAAGAGUUUCUAUGUAUAGCCCAUUCACAUAGCCGCGGCCACAUACGGAUACUCUUAUAUAGGUGGUUUCCUCCAGGGAUGUGUGUAGAGUCACAUCUCGCGAAAAUUAUCGCCUUGGAUUCCAUUAAGAGCUCUCAGCUCAACCUAAUCCACUACACAGAGCACUACUCACCAUAGGGAUGGAAUUAGAGCGAAAGCUCCUCUAUAAAAUUUGUAGAAAGUGCUCUUUGGCCAACCUGACAGCUUGUUUUUACCACAUUGAACCUUCUUCAAGGGAUCUCCUAUCACAAAGGUUGGGUUCCCACUGCAGGAAGGCCCUUUAUGGGCAAGAUCCCAUCCCCCUCGAUGACAGUAGGACCAUAGUCCUCUUUAGGCCUUUCAUCAAGUACUCUGCAAAAUUCUGAUCAGAUCUGAUAAAACUCAAAUAAAUAACAUUAUGAAGAAUAACCAUCUAAUAAAUUUAUGUCAAUAUAAUUUAUCUGCCAACUUUAGAAUUUACUAAAUUCUUCUCCAAGAUGAACAUUAAUAGUAAAACAGAUAAAAAUAUGAGAGCAAAUAUAAUAUCAAAAUUUAUCAACAGAUAAAAGAGUUUCCCCUCACAAGUUCUGAGAUAGAUUAAAACUUAAGAUCAUGAUAUUAAUCAUGUGUCCAGUAGCGUUCUGUUCAACAACAAAUAGAUGCCCAAACAAUUUUAAAAGAUAUGUUCGAGCAAAAUAUAUAGAAUCACACUAUUAUUUGACGUUGCAAACAGAGUAUAUU